GCUCGCCCUGGCGGGCGUGGUGCCGAUCGCUCUGUGGCGGCGCCGGCGGUCGCGGCGGUCGCGGCGCCGGACGGGCU
RNAcentral lists this transfer RNA (77 nucleotides) under Kitasatospora aureofaciens. RNAcentral's name for it is "tRNA-His". The record is from RNAcentral. Lineage: Bacteria; Bacillati; Actinomycetota; Actinomycetes; Kitasatosporales; Streptomycetaceae.